AUUUGCUUCAUUUUGGACCACUGUCAUCCCAGCUUUUUAGGCACUAUUUGAAUUGGGCUAAUCCAUGAACUAUCUGAAAUGGAGUAGAUAAUUUCAUUAUCGAGUAACUUGAGAAUCUCUUUCUUCACUACCUCCUUCAUAGCUGGAUUAAGUCUUAUUUGGGGGUCUCUGAUUGGCUUGGCUUUCUUCCCUAAAUAAAUUCGAUGUUGGACAAUUGAAGGGCUAAUCCCUUUAAUAUCAGCCAUGGUCCAUGC
Molecule: long non-coding RNA, 254 nt
Filed under: Elaeis guineensis (African oil palm)
Lineage: Eukaryota; Viridiplantae; Streptophyta; Magnoliopsida; Arecales; Arecaceae
Description: long non-coding RNA (EGUI_LNC014727)
Source: RNAcentral